This 420-nucleotide ribosomal RNA is filed under the name uncultured bacterium. RNAcentral describes it as "bacterial SSU rRNA". It matches the Rfam family "Bacterial small subunit ribosomal RNA", at positions 355 to 774 of the family's 1533-position model. The record is from RNAcentral.
UAAGGAAUAUUGCUCAAUGGGAGAAAUCCUGAAGCAGCAACGCCGCGUGGAGGAUGAAGGGUCUAUGACUUGUAAACUCCUGUAAAGAAGGAAAAAAUUCCCAUUUGAUGGGAGAUGAUGGUACUUCUGGAGUAAGCCCCGGCUAACUACGUGCCAGCAGCCGCGGUAAUACGUAGGGGGCAAGCGUUGUCCGGAUUUACUGGGUGUAAAGGGUGCUCAGGCGGAUUUGUAAGUCAGAGGUGAAAUCUUACAGCUUAACUGUGAAACUGCCUUUGAUACUGCAAGCCUAGAGUAUGGAAGAUAGUGAUGGAAUAUCUGGUGUAGCAGUGAAAUGCGUAGAUAUCAGAUAGAACACCAAUGGCGAAGGCAGUCACUUGGUCCAUUACUGACGCUAAAGCACGAAAGCGAGGGUAGCAAACA